Non-coding RNA from Alternaria infectoria, 89 nucleotides. The record is from the annotation of a RefSeq genome assembly. NCBI's taxonomy places the organism in Eukaryota, Fungi, Ascomycota, Dothideomycetes, Pleosporales, Pleosporaceae.
GCAUCGGUGGUUUAGUGGUAAAAUUAGCCGUUGCCAUCCAUCACAGGGACAGUUUCGGCUAGCCCCGGGUUCGAUUCCCGGCCGAUGCA